GGGGUUGCAUGUACUAAGGUAGCGAGGGAGGUUUGCACCUUUCCUGUUGAGAGUUCGAUUCUCUCCGGCUCCA
This 73-nucleotide transfer RNA is filed under the name Caudoviricetes sp. RNAcentral describes it as "tRNA-Ala". The record is from RNAcentral. Lineage: Duplodnaviria; Heunggongvirae; Uroviricota; Caudoviricetes. RNAcentral also lists the same sequence under 1 other name.